Molecule: ribosomal RNA, 465 nt
Filed under: Vreelandella stevensii
Lineage: Bacteria; Pseudomonadati; Pseudomonadota; Gammaproteobacteria; Oceanospirillales; Halomonadaceae
Description: partial 16S ribosomal RNA
Rfam family: Bacterial small subunit ribosomal RNA
Source: RNAcentral
CCUACGGGGGGCUGCAGUGGGGAAUAUUGGACAAUGGGGGGAACCCUGAUCCAGCCAUGCCGCGUGUAUGAAGAAGGCCCUCGGGUUGUAAAGCACUUUCAGUGAGGAAGAACGCCUGGUGGUUAAUACCCAUCAGGAAAGACAUCACUCACAGAAGAAGCACCGGCUAACUCCGUGCCAGCAGCCGCGGUAAUACGGAGGGUGCGAGCGUUAAUCGGAAUUACUGGGCGUAAAGCGCGCGUAGGUGGCUUGAUAAGCCGGUUGUGAAAGCCCCGGGCUCAACCUGGGAACGGCAUCCGGAACUGUCAAGCUAGAGUGCAGGAGAGGAAGGUAGAAUUCCCGGUGUAGCGGUGAAAUGCGUAGAGAUCGGGAGGAAUACCAGUGGCGAAGGCGGCCUUCUGGACUGACACUGACACUGAGGUGCGAAAGCGUGGGUAGCAAACAGGAUUAGAUACCCUGGUAGUC